ACUGGGUUGUAACAGUUUGAAGACUAUCUAUGCUCUACAGAGCCUUGGAGAAAUCAGGAACUAAAGAUACAUCUAAGGAAAGAGCUCACCUUAGAAUUCUUGUGGGAAACUGGAUAACUCAAAUUAGAACAUUAGUUCACGAAGAAGUUGGCUGAAUGUUGCAGGCUUGCAAAAUGGAAGGCUUUUCCCUCAUUUCCCCUCCCUCUGAAGACCUGGUAUCUUAUGAAUCAGACCUCUACAGACAGUCCCAUGACAGUUACCAGUAUCUCAACAGUGAUGCAGACAGUCAUGGUGGUAAGUA
Python bivittatus (Burmese python) is the source of this 301-nucleotide non-coding RNA. NCBI's taxonomy places the organism in Eukaryota, Metazoa, Chordata, Lepidosauria, Squamata, Pythonidae. The record is from RefSeq and is a predicted model, not a curated record.